UACAUAGGUCCCGAGCGUUGUCCGGAUUUAUUGGGCGUAAAGCGAGCGCAGGUGGUUUAUUAAGUCUGGUGUAAAAGGCAGUGGCUCAACCAUUGUAUGCAUUGGAAACUGGUAGACUUGAGUGCAGGAGAGGAGAGUGGAAUUCCAUGUGUAGCGAUGAAAUGCGUAGAUAUAUGGAGGAACACCGGUGGCGAAAGCGGCUCUCUGGCCUGUAACUGACACUGAGGCUCGAAAGCGUGGGAAGCAAACAGG
RNAcentral lists this ribosomal RNA (252 nucleotides) under uncultured bacterium. Its description in RNAcentral is "partial 16S ribosomal RNA". It matches the Rfam family "Bacterial small subunit ribosomal RNA", at positions 524 to 776 of the family's 1533-position model. The record is from RNAcentral.